AUUUCAGAAUGCGUUGCGCCUCCUGCGGGGGGCCGGGGCCCGCAUCGCCAUCAUGACCUCCACGGAGUUUGAGCACUGCUGGGAACCCUUUGUGGACAAUCAGGGAAGAGCCUUCGAGCCCCGGGACACGCUGGUCUCCCAGAGUCAGGACCUCGCUGAGACGCUGCAGGUCACAGAAAGCCUGAAGGGUGGGCCUCAGUCCCGCUAAGAACGCAGGAGGCCUCUGUUGGACAGCAGAAUAAA
Long non-coding RNA from Lynx canadensis (Canada lynx), 243 nucleotides. RefSeq lists it as uncharacterized. The transcript is spliced from 3 exons. Lineage: Eukaryota; Metazoa; Chordata; Mammalia; Carnivora; Felidae. The record is from RefSeq and is a predicted model, not a curated record.